AUGGGGUAUUACCUUGCAGAUGGUAUCUAUCCACGGUGGGCAACAUUUGUGAAGAGCAUACCAGCUCCAACUAGCAGAAAGCAUAAAACUUUUGCCAAGAAGCAAGAGGGGGCUAGGAAAGAUGUGGAACGAGCCUUUGGAGUUCUGCAAUCCCGUUUUGCCAUUGUUCGUGGACCUGCUAAAGGAUGGAAACGUAAAGAAAUCACUGAUGUCAUGAAAGCUUGUGUCAUAAUGCACAAUAUGAUAGUUGAAGAGGAGCGACAAACUGGUCGGCAAAGCUGCACUUUUGAGGCAACGGAAGAAAGAGUCACAGUCUCUCGUACUCAUGCGGAAGAACUGAGCUCUUUUAUUCAGAUGACUCAUCGGAUUAGAAAUUUCGAUGAACAUGAUCAGCUUAAACUUGAUCUAAUUGACCAUGUGUGGAAAAAGUUUGAAAACGAGUAA
RNAcentral lists this ribosomal RNA (444 nucleotides) under Triticum aestivum (bread wheat). RNAcentral's name for it is "partial small subunit ribosomal RNA". The record is from RNAcentral. Lineage: Eukaryota; Viridiplantae; Streptophyta; Magnoliopsida; Poales; Poaceae.